GGAAUAUAGCUCAGUUGUUAGAGUGCUUGCCUCACCUGCAUAAGGCCCUGGGUUCAAGCCCCAAAACCA
Molecule: transfer RNA, 69 nt
Filed under: Marmota monax (woodchuck)
Lineage: Eukaryota; Metazoa; Chordata; Mammalia; Rodentia; Sciuridae
Description: tRNA.Val
Source: RNAcentral